CACGUAGGGCGCAAGCGUUGUCCGGAAUUAUUGGGCGUAAAGAGCUCGUAGGCGGUCUGUCGCGUCGGCUGUGAAAACCCGGAGCUCAACUCCGGGCCUGCAGUCGAUACGGGCAAACUGGAGUGUUGCAGGGGAGACUGGAAUUCCUGGUGUAGCGGUGAAAUGCGCAGAUAUCAGGAGGAACACCGGUGGCGAAGGCGGGUCUCUGGGCAACAACUGACGCUGAGGAGCGAAAGCGUGGGGAGCGAACAGG
RNAcentral lists this ribosomal RNA (253 nucleotides) under uncultured bacterium. RNAcentral describes it as "partial 16S ribosomal RNA". It matches the Rfam family "Bacterial small subunit ribosomal RNA", at positions 524 to 776 of the family's 1533-position model. The record is from RNAcentral.